CAUAAAUCCUCCUUACUUUGGAGCCUCCCCAGUGUUUUAAGUUUUCUGGACCCCCCUGGUGUUCUCAUCUCUUUGUGUACCUCACCAGAAAAAAAAAAACUCAAUUUAUUACCCAACCUGACCAUUCACUCUUUCACAUGAUAUCUGGAACUCCUAAUCUCACAUUAGCCAAAGGUCUAUACUCCUUAAACACUUCUCUGAAUGUUUUUUUCUAUUUCCUUUCUACUCAAAACCAGGCUAUCUUCUGAGAGUACUGCUUUCCUAGCCUGUCUAGUGUUUGUUUCUUUUCCCCACAUACUUCAUAUUAUUGGAGCAGGUGGCUUCUCUCCUUCCUCUCCUUUGCAGCUCCCACAUACUGAAAAUCAUAUGCACUUUAAAGGAGAUCUUUAGAUUAUACCCCCUGCUGCCCCUUUUAUGUGGCAGCUAUCCACUGCUUCCCUGGUAAUGCCACCUUCUUCACUUGACCGUGCCACUUGUCCAUCACCCCUUUAUGUCCUUACUUCCCUUCUUACGGAGCCUAGAUUCUCUGGCUCACCCCUACCUUCACUCUAUUGUAUGUAUUCACAGUCCUCACAGCUCUCUCUCCUUCCUCUCGCCUAGCAAUCUUGAUCCUGGUUAAACCCAACUCUCUUCCACCUCUUCCUUGUUCCUGAGCAGCUAAACCUGGAGGAGAAAACCACACAGCCACACUGGCUGCUCCUCAACCCUACUAAAUAUCUGUUAUCAGUGCACUCAGCCACACCCCCCUGAUGAUUAUUUCAUUUCUUUUCUCUCCUUCAAUGCCUCCUUUUCCAAAAUCCUCACUGUCACUCUCAGUUGCUG
Molecule: long non-coding RNA, 822 nt
Filed under: Marmota monax (woodchuck)
Lineage: Eukaryota; Metazoa; Chordata; Mammalia; Rodentia; Sciuridae
Source: RNAcentral